AAACUCUAAAAGAGAGCAGUUUUAAUUAUAUUUUAUGAGAACUCGGAGCAUUUAAGGUGAGAAAUGGCGGCUGCUGUCAAGUGAGAUUCGGAGUCGGAGUUCAGUUCAGUCAAGUGAGAAUUCCUUUGGACGACAAGGCGAAGAGAAUGAGACAUCUGCUGUCGAGCUUCUACUCUCCAGAUCCUUCUUCGACAAACGACUCUCCUUCCAACCACGGCAGCUUAGACGCUAUCGAAACUACUACUUUCAAUGCCGAUCAGUACAUGAAUCUCCUGAUACGGAAGUCGAAUUUGGAAGCGCUUCGUCAGAGGCAUGUUGAAAUGGCAGCCGAAAUUAAGAAUAUCGAUACCGACUUGCAAGUGCUGGUUUACGAGAAUUACAACAAGUUUAUCAGUACCACGGAUGCAGUUAAACGGUAACUUGUUUCAAAUCUUAAAAUCAAUGUUAACAUCCGCCACUGCUAAUUUGGGAAAAACUAUAGGGUUUGUCAAUAUUAUAUCUGUUCGUAGAUAUUUUGUUAUUUCCUUUUGAUUCAGCAAGAUGUUUGAUGUGGUAGCAACUGUUGUUUGUUCGAUCAAGUUAUCUGGACUUUUGAAGUUUGUUCACAAGCACUGUUUCUUGUACUGGAAUUUUGAUUUUAACAGGAUGAAAGUAAUAUUGUAGGCAUGGAAACAAAUAUGGAACAUCUGCUUGACAAGAUAAUGUCAAUGCAAUCUAAAAGUGAUGGGAUCAACACUUCUCUUUUUGAGAAGAGAGAACACAUAGAGAAGUUGCACCGGACACGUAACUUCUGCUUAAAGUUCAGGUAUUCAAGACUGUUAAAUCUACGUGGUGGCUAGUGAAUAAUGUGACAGCAGCCCUAAGAUUUAAAGCCAAUUUUUAAGGCAGAUGGAGAUUCGUCAUUUCAGGACUGUAAACAAGCAUCUAAGAAGUAAUUGCUAUAAUAGUAAAAAACUUGCAGGUGGAUAGCUUACAGGCAAAACUGCUUGAAAAGUUAGAGCAAUCUCUUGGAGACCUUCAGCUUAAAUCAGAUGAAAUUGAGAAUGUUUCUGUGGAGUCUAAUGAUCCUAAACAAGGAAAAGU
This is a long non-coding RNA of Gossypium raimondii (Peruvian cotton), 1083 nucleotides long. RefSeq lists it as uncharacterized. The transcript is spliced from 5 exons. The record is from RefSeq and is a predicted model, not a curated record. Lineage: Eukaryota; Viridiplantae; Streptophyta; Magnoliopsida; Malvales; Malvaceae.